UACGUAGGGUGCAAGCGUUGUCCGGAAUUAUUGGGCGUAAAGAGCUCGUAGGCGGUUCGUCGCGUCGGCUGUGAAAUCCCGAGGCUCAACCUCGGGUCUGCAGUCGAUACGGGCGGACUGGAGUACUGCAGGGGAGACUGGAAUUCCUGGUGUAGCGGUGAAAUGCGCAGAUAUCAGGAGGAACACCGAUGGCGAAGGCAGGUCUCUGGGCCACUACUGACGCUGAGAAGCGAAAGCAUGGGGAGCGAACAGG
Molecule: ribosomal RNA, 253 nt
Filed under: uncultured bacterium
Lineage: Bacteria
Description: partial 16S ribosomal RNA
Rfam family: Bacterial small subunit ribosomal RNA
Source: RNAcentral